UUUACUCCUACCGGAGGCAGCAGUGGGGAAUAUUGCACAAUGGGCGCAAGCCUGAUGCAGCGACGCCGCGUGAGGGAUGACGGCCUUCGGGUUGUAAACCUCUUUCAGUAGGGAAGAAGCGAAAGUGACGGUACCUGCAGAAGAAGCGCCGGCUAACUACGUGCCAGCAGCCGCGGUAAUACGUAGGGCGCAAGCGUUAUCCGGAAUUAUUGGGCGUAAAGAGCUCGUAGGCGGUUUGUCGCGUCUGCCGUGAAAGUCCGGGGCUCAACUCCGGAUCUGCGGUGGGUACGGGCAGACUAGAGUGAUGUAGGGGAGACUGGAAUUCCUGGUGUAGCGGUGAAAUGCGCAGAUAUCAGGAGGAACACCGAUGGCGAAGGCAGGUCUCUGGGCAUUAACUGACGCUGAGGAGCGAAAGCAUGGGGAGCGAACAGGAUUAGAUACCCUGGUAGUCCAUGCCGUAAACGUUGGGCACUAGGUGUGGGGGACAUUCCACGUUUUCCGCGCCGUAGCUAACGCAUUAAGUGCCCCGCCUGGGGAGUACGGCCGCAAGGCUAAAACUCAAAGGAAUUGACGGGGGCCCGCACAAGCGGCGGAGCAUGCGGAUUAAUGCGAUGCAACGCGAAGAACCUUACCAAGGCUUGACAUGGACCGGACCGGGCUGAAACAGUCCUUCCCCUUGG
This 680-nucleotide ribosomal RNA is filed under the name Arthrobacter sp. RNAcentral's name for it is "bacterial SSU rRNA". It matches the Rfam family "Bacterial small subunit ribosomal RNA", at positions 332 to 1022 of the family's 1533-position model. The record is from RNAcentral. Lineage: Bacteria; Bacillati; Actinomycetota; Actinomycetes; Micrococcales; Micrococcaceae.